This 74-nucleotide transfer RNA is filed under the name Bacteroidota bacterium. Its description in RNAcentral is "Bacteroidetes bacterium (freshwater metagenome) tRNA-Met". It matches the Rfam family "tRNA". Rfam says of the family: Transfer RNA (tRNA) molecules are approximately 80 nucleotides in length. Lineage: Bacteria; Pseudomonadati; Bacteroidota. The record is from RNAcentral.
GGACCCUUAGCUCAGUUGGUUAGAGCGACAGACUCAUAAUCUGUGGGUCGCAGGUUCAAGCCCUGCAGGGUCCA